UACAACAUAGAGUUGAUCCAUUAGAUCCCAUUAGAACUUCACAAUUAAGAGUUCUUAAGAUAGAUUAGUAUCGGGAUGGGUGACCACUCGGGAAGUCCUAAUGUUUUAC
Picea glauca (white spruce) is the source of this 109-nucleotide non-coding RNA. NCBI's taxonomy places the organism in Eukaryota, Viridiplantae, Streptophyta, Pinopsida, Pinales, Pinaceae. The record is from Rfam.